GACGAACGCUGGCGGCGUGCUUAACACAUGCAAGUCGAACGGAAAGGCCCUGCUUUUGGGGGGUGCUCGAGGGGCGAACGGGUGAGUAACACGUGAGUAACCUGCCCUUGACUUUGGGAUAACUUCAGGAAACUGGGGCUAAUACCGGAUAGGAGCUCCUGCUGCAUGGUGGGGGUUGGAAAGUUUCGGCGGUUGGGGAUGGACUCGCGGCUUAUCAGCUUGUUGGUGGGGUAGUGGCUUACCAAGGCUUUGACGGGUAGCCGGCCUGAGAGGGUGACCGGCCACAUUGGGACUGAGAUACGGCCCAGACUCCUACGGGAGGCAGCAGUGGGGAAUAUUGCACAAUGGGCGGAAGCCUGAUGCAGCAACGCCGCGUGCGGGAUGACGGCCUUCGGGUUGUAAACCGCUUUCGCCUGUGACGAAGCGUGAGUGACGGUAAUGGGUAAAGAAGCACCGGCUAACUACGUG
This 468-nucleotide ribosomal RNA is filed under the name uncultured bacterium. Its description in RNAcentral is "partial 16S ribosomal RNA". It matches the Rfam family "Bacterial small subunit ribosomal RNA", at positions 28 to 507 of the family's 1533-position model. The record is from RNAcentral.